GUGCUCCCAUCGGCAGCACAUAUACUAAAACUGGGACGAUAUAAAGAAGAUUAGCAUGGUCCCUGAGCAAGGAUGACAAGCAAAUUGGAGCAGCAUUCCAUAUUUUA
Ailuropoda melanoleuca (giant panda) is the source of this 107-nucleotide small nuclear RNA. The record is from Ensembl. Lineage: Eukaryota; Metazoa; Chordata; Mammalia; Carnivora; Ursidae.